AGUGAACGCUGGCGGUAGGCCUAACACAUGCAAGUCGAACGGCAGCACAGUAAGAGCUUGCUCUUACGGGUGGCGAGUGGCGGACGGGUGAGGAAUACAUCGGAAUCUACUUUUUCGUGGGGGAUAACGUAGGGAAACUUACGCUAAUACCGCAUACGACCUACGGUUGAAAGCAUGGGAUCUUCGCACCUUGCGCGAUUGAAUGCGCCGAUGUUGGAUUAGCUAGUUGGGCGGGUAAACGCCCACCAAGGCGCCGAUUCGUAGCUGGUGUGAGAGGCUGGUCGCGCGCCCGAGAACGUGAACGCCGACCUGGGGACUAAGGGAGGGAGCAGGUGGGAAUAUUGGACAAUGGGCGCAAGCCUGAUCCAGCCAUACCGCGUGUGUGAAGAAGGCCUUCGGGUUGUAAAGCCCUUUUGUUGGGAAAGAAAAGCAGCAGGUUAAUACCCCGCUGUUCUGACGGUACCCAAAGAAUAAGCACCGGCUAACUUCGUG
This 492-nucleotide ribosomal RNA is filed under the name uncultured bacterium. RNAcentral describes it as "partial 16S ribosomal RNA". It matches the Rfam family "Bacterial small subunit ribosomal RNA", at positions 29 to 507 of the family's 1533-position model. The record is from RNAcentral.